CCGUAGCUCAGUGGAAGAGCAUCUGCUUGGCAUGCAGAAGGUCCCAGGUUCAAUCCCUGGCAGGUAGG
This is a non-coding RNA of Hemicordylus capensis (graceful crag lizard), 68 nucleotides long. The record is from the annotation of a RefSeq genome assembly. NCBI's taxonomy places the organism in Eukaryota, Metazoa, Chordata, Lepidosauria, Squamata, Cordylidae.